RNAcentral lists this ribosomal RNA (253 nucleotides) under uncultured bacterium. RNAcentral's name for it is "partial 16S ribosomal RNA". It matches the Rfam family "Bacterial small subunit ribosomal RNA", at positions 524 to 776 of the family's 1533-position model. The record is from RNAcentral.
UACGGAGGGGGCUAGCGUUGUUCGGAAUUACUGGGCGUAAAGCGCACGUAGGCGGCUUUGUAAGUUAGAGGUGAAAGCCCGGGGCUCAACUCCGGAAUUGCCUUUAAGACUGCAUCGCUAGAAUUGUGGAGAGGUAAGUGGAAUUCCGAGUGUAGAGGUGAAAUUCGUAGAUAUUCGGAAGAACACCAGUGGCGAAGGCGACUUACUGGACACAUAUUGACGCUGAGGUGCGAAAGCCAGGGGAGCGAACGGG